Molecule: ribosomal RNA, 468 nt
Filed under: uncultured bacterium
Lineage: Bacteria
Description: partial 16S ribosomal RNA
Rfam family: Bacterial small subunit ribosomal RNA
Source: RNAcentral
GACGAACGCUGGCGGCGUGCUUAACACAUGCAAGUCGAACGGAAAGGCCCUGCUUUUGUGGGGUGCUCGCGUGGCGAACGGGUGAGUAACCCGUGAGUAACCUGCCCUUGACUUUGGGAUAACUUCAGGCAACUGGGGCUAAUACCGGAUAGGAGCUCCUGCUGCAUGGUGGGGUUUGGAAAGUUUCGGCGGUUGGGGAUGGAUUCGCGGCUUAUCAGCUUGUUGGUGGGGUAGUGGCUUACCAAGGCUUUGGCGGGUAGCCGGCCUGAGAGGGUGGACGGCCACAUUGGGACUGAGGUACGGCCCAGACUCCUACGGGAGGCAGCAGGGGGGAAUAUUGCACAAUGGGCGGAAGCCUGAUGAAGCAACGCCGCGUGCGGGAUGACGGCCUUCGGGUUGUAAACCGCUUUCGCCUGUGACGAAGCGUGAGUGACGGUAAUGGGUAAAGAAGCACCGGCUAACUACGUG